RNAcentral lists this small RNA (110 nucleotides) under Serratia marcescens. Its description in RNAcentral is "RtT sRNA". It matches the Rfam family "RtT RNA". From Rfam's summary of the family: This family represents a bacterial cis-regulatory element known as RtT RNA. The exact function of RtT is unknown although it is thought that it may be involved in changing the cellular response in relation to amino acid starvation. Lineage: Bacteria; Pseudomonadati; Pseudomonadota; Gammaproteobacteria; Enterobacterales; Yersiniaceae. RNAcentral also lists the same sequence under 2 other names. The record is from RNAcentral.
CAAGGUGUUAAAUCGUCAGGAUGAGAACCGUAAAGGUUCGAGUCUCGCAACGCGAGACAACAUCACUCCGGUGAUGGCCCGAAGGGCGAGUUAUCCUGCACGACCCACCA